UACGGAGGAGGCAAGCGUUAUCCGAAAUUAUUGGGCGUAAAGCGUCCGCAGGUGGCACUUCAAGUCUGUCGUCAAAGACUGGGGCUUAACCCUGGAAAGGCGGUGGAAACUGAAGCGCUAGAGUGCGGUAGGGGUAGAGGGAAUUCCCGGUGUAGCGGUGAAAUGCGUAGAGAUCGGGGAGAACAUCGGUGGCGAAAGCGCUCUACUGGACCGCAACUGACACUCAGGGACGAAAGCUAGGGGAGCGAAUGGG
RNAcentral lists this ribosomal RNA (253 nucleotides) under uncultured bacterium. RNAcentral's name for it is "partial 16S ribosomal RNA". It matches the Rfam family "Bacterial small subunit ribosomal RNA", at positions 524 to 776 of the family's 1533-position model. The record is from RNAcentral.